GACGAACGCUGGCGGCGUGCCUAAUACAUGCAAGUAGAACGCUGAAGAGAGGAGCUUGCUCUUCUUGGAUGAGUUGCGAACGGGUGAGUAACGCGUAGGUAACCUGCCUUGUAGCGGGGGAUAACUAUUGGAAACGAUAGCUAAUACCGCAUAACAAUGGAUGACACAUGUCAUUUAUUUGAAAGGGGCAAAUGCUCCACUACAAGAUGGACCUGCGUUGUAUUAGCUAGUAGGUGAGGUAACGGCUCACCUAGGCGGCGAUACAUAGCCGACCUGAGAGGGUGAUCGGCCACACUGGGACUGAGACACGGCCCAGACUCCUACGGGAGGCAGCAGUAGGGAAUCUUCGGCAAUGGGGGCAACCCUGACCGAGCAACGCCGCGUGAGUGAAGAAGGUUUUCGGAUCGUAAAGCUCUGUUGUAAGUCAAGAACGAGUGUGAGAGUGGAAAGUUCACACUAUGACG
This 464-nucleotide ribosomal RNA is filed under the name Streptococcus sp. oral taxon C65. RNAcentral describes it as "bacterial SSU rRNA". It matches the Rfam family "Bacterial small subunit ribosomal RNA", at positions 28 to 474 of the family's 1533-position model. The record is from RNAcentral. Lineage: Bacteria; Bacillati; Bacillota; Bacilli; Lactobacillales; Streptococcaceae.